RNAcentral lists this ribosomal RNA (484 nucleotides) under uncultured bacterium. RNAcentral describes it as "bacterial SSU rRNA". It matches the Rfam family "Bacterial small subunit ribosomal RNA", at positions 24 to 506 of the family's 1533-position model. The record is from RNAcentral.
UCAGGAUGAACGCUAGCGGGAGGCUUAAUACAUGCAAGUCGAACGGUAAGGUCUACUUCGGUAGAUACACGAGUGGCGCACGGGUGAGUAACGCGUACACUACCUACCUUUAAGAGGGGGAUAGCCUUGGGAAACUGAGAAUAAUACCCCAUAAGAUUACUAAUUGUAAAGAUAAGUGAUUAAAGCUACGGCGCUUAAAGAUGGGUGUGCGUACCAUUAGCUAGUUGGUAAGGUAACGGCUUACCAAGGCGACGAUGGUUAGGGGGCGUGAGAGCGUGAUCCCCCACACGGGUACUGAGACACGGACCCGACUCCUACGGGAGGCAGCAGUAAGGAAUAUUGGACAAUGGGGGCAACCCUGAUCCAGCCAUCCCGCGUGCAGGAAGACGGCCCUCUGGGUUGUAAACUGCUUUUAUCAGGGAAGAAGUCUAGGGAUUUAUCCUUAGUUGACGGUACCUGAGGAAUAAGCACCGGCUAACUCCGU